This 374-nucleotide ribosomal RNA is filed under the name uncultured organism. RNAcentral describes it as "partial 16S ribosomal RNA". It matches the Rfam family "Bacterial small subunit ribosomal RNA", at positions 527 to 896 of the family's 1533-position model. The record is from RNAcentral.
GUAGGUGGCAAGCGUUGUCCGGAAUUAUUGGGCGUAAAGCGCGCGCAGGCGGUUCUUUAAGUCUGAUGUGAAAGCCCACGGCUCAACCGUGGAGGGUCAUUGGAAACUGGAGAACUUGAGUACAGAAGAGGAAAGCGGAAUUCCACGUGUGGCGGUGAAAUGCGUAGAGAUGUGGAGGAACACCAGUGGCGAAGGCGGCUUUCUGGUCUGUAACUGACGCUGAGGCGCGAAAGCGUGGGGAGCAAACAGGGAUUAGAUACCCUGGUAGUCCACGCCGUAAACGAUGAGUGCUAAGUGUUAGGGGGUUUCCCGCCCCUUAGUGCUGCAGCUAACGCAUUAAGCACUCCGCCUGGGGAGUACGGCCCGCAAGGCUG